Molecule: ribosomal RNA, 422 nt
Filed under: Boulengerula taitana (Taita Mountains caecilian)
Lineage: Eukaryota; Metazoa; Chordata; Amphibia; Gymnophiona; Herpelidae
Description: partial 12S ribosomal RNA
Rfam family: Bacterial small subunit ribosomal RNA
Source: RNAcentral
UAAACUGGGAUUAGAUACCCCACUAUGCUAAGCCGCAAAUAUACUUACAUACAUAUUCGCCAGAGUACUACACGCGAUAGCUUAAAACUCAAAGGACUUGGCGGUACUCCAAACCCCUCCAGAGGAGCCUGUUCUAUAAUCGACAGUACCCGCUAAACCUCACCAUUUUUAGCCAACCAGCCUAUAUACCACCGUCUCCAGCUAACCUUUUGAAAGAAAAAUAGUCAGCACAAAGAAUCAACUCAAAACGUCAGGUCAAGGUGUAGCAAAUAAAAUGGGAAGAAAUGGGCUACAUUUUCUUACUAAAGAAUAUACGAAUAGUGUAAUGAAAAAAACACCUGAAGGCGGAUUUGACAGUAAUUAGAAACAAUCAUAUUCUAAUUAAAAUGGCAAUGGAGUACGCACACACCGCCCGUCACCCU